GAUGAACGCUGGCGGCGUGCCUAAUACAUGCAAGUCAAGCGAACAGAUGAGAAGCUUGCUUCUCUGAUGUUAGCGGCGGACGGGUGAGUAACACGUGGGUAACCUACCUAUAAGACUGGGAUAACUCCGGGAAACAGGGCAUAAUACCGGAUAAUAUUUUGAAACGCAUGGCUCAAUAGUGAAAGACGGUUUCGGCUGUCAGUUAUCGAUGGACACGCGCCAGAUUAGCUAGUUGGUAAGGUAACAGCUUACCAAGGCGACGAUACGUAGCCGACCUGGAAGGGUGAUCGGCCACACUGGAACUGAGACACGGUCCAGACUCCUACGGGAGGCAGCAGUAGGGAAUCUUCCGCAAUGGGCGAAAGCCUGACGGAGCAACGCCGCGUGAGUGAUGAAGGUCUUCGGAUCGUAAAACUCUGUUGUUAGGGAAGAACAAAUUUGUUAGUAACUGAACAAAUCUUGACGGUACCUAACCAGAAAGCCACGGCUAACUACGUGCCAGCAGCCGCGGUAA
RNAcentral lists this ribosomal RNA (514 nucleotides) under uncultured bacterium. Its description in RNAcentral is "partial 16S ribosomal RNA". It matches the Rfam family "Bacterial small subunit ribosomal RNA", at positions 28 to 523 of the family's 1533-position model. The record is from RNAcentral.